AGGGCGCACAGUCAGUGGGGGUAGACGCGAAACCAAGUGAUCUACACUUGGCCAGGAUGAAGUCCCGGUAACACGGGAUGGAGGUCCGCACCAAUAAGCGUUGAAAAGCUUCUGGAUGAGCCGAGUGUAGGAGUGAAAGGCCAAUCAAACUUGGAGAUAGCUCGUACUCCCCGAAAGGCAUUUAGGUGCCGCGUCGGAUGGUCACCGUGAGAGGUAGAGCGACCGAUAGGACAAGAGGGCUUCACCGCCUAUCGAGUCCUGACGAACUCCGAAUGCUCACGGUCUGCAGUCCGGCAGUAAGGGGGCGGGUGCUAAGGUCCGUCCCCGAGAGGAGAAGAAUCCAGACCGCCGUCUAAGGUCCCGGAGUUCUGCCUGAGUUAGUCUAACGAAGUCUGGUCCCUAUGACAGCUAGGAUGUUGGCUUGGAAGCAGCCAUUCAUUCAAAGAGUGCGUAACAGCUCACUAGUCGAGGGUCCGGGCAUGGAUAAUAAUCGGGUAUAAGGCAGACACCGAAGGCGCGGGAUAGCAAUUAUAAAAGUAUCGGUAGGGGAGCAUACUCACAGCGUCGAAUGGUGUACGUAAGUUAUCCUGGAGCGGUGAGUAAAGCAAAUGUAGGAAUAAGUAACGAUAAGGAGGGUUAGAUUCCCUCCCGCUGUAAGACCAAGGUUUCCCGGGCAAUGCCAAUCAGCCCGGGGUCAGUCGGGUCCUAAGUCUAAGCCGAACGGCGAUGGCGAUGGCAGAGACGGUUAAUAUUCCGUCACUGCCGCAUGGGGCGACGUGGAGACGGAGCAGUGAAACCACCGCGGGGCGACGGAAGUCCCCGUUGAAGGGUGUAGGUGUUGAGGAAGGCAGGCAAAUCCACCUUCCGAGCUGAACCUGAUAGUACGGAGUCCUCCUCGGAGGAAUCUGAUAGUGUGGGUAAUCAUACUCCCGAGAAAAUCCGCUAAGCUUAACCCAUGCGGCACCCGUACCGCAAACGGACACACGUGGUCGGGUAGAACAUA
RNAcentral lists this ribosomal RNA (1003 nucleotides) under Segatella copri. RNAcentral describes it as "partial 23S ribosomal RNA". It matches the Rfam family "Bacterial large subunit ribosomal RNA", at positions 689 to 1680 of the family's 2925-position model. Lineage: Bacteria; Pseudomonadati; Bacteroidota; Bacteroidia; Bacteroidales; Prevotellaceae. The record is from RNAcentral.